RNAcentral lists this ribosomal RNA (560 nucleotides) under Madurella fahalii. RNAcentral's name for it is "partial 28S ribosomal RNA". It matches the Rfam family "Eukaryotic large subunit ribosomal RNA", at positions 38 to 625 of the family's 3401-position model. The record is from RNAcentral. Lineage: Eukaryota; Fungi; Ascomycota; Sordariomycetes; Sordariales.
GCAUAUCAAUAAGCGGAGGAAAAGAAACCAACAGGGAUUGCCCUAGUAACGGCGAGUGAAGCGGCAACAGCUCAAAUUUGAAAUCUGGCUUCGGCCCGAGUUGUAAUUUGUAGAGGAAGCUUUUGGCACGGCACCUUCUGAGUCCCCUGGAACGGGGCGCCAUAGAGGGUGAGAGCCCCGUAUAGUUGGAUGCCUAGCCUCUGUAAAGCUCCUUCGACGAGUCGAGUAGUUUGGGAAUGCUGCUCAAAAUGGGAGGUAAAUUUCUUCUAAAGCUAAAUACCGGCCAGAGACCGAUAGCGCACAAGUAGAGUGAUCGAAAGAUGAAAAGCACUUUGAAAAGAGGGUUAAAUAGCACGUGAAAUUGUUGAAAGGGAAGCGCUUGUGACCAGACUUGCGCCGGGCUGAUCAUCCGGUGUUCUCACCGGUGCACUCUGCCCGGCUCAGGCCAGCAUCGGUUCUCGCGGGGGGACAAAGGCCCUGGGAACGUAGCUCCUCCGGGAGUGUUAUAGCCCAGGGCGCAAUGCCCUCGCGGGGACCGAGGCUCGCGCUCUGCAAGGAUG